UCGGGAAUUUUGGGCAAUGGGCGAAAGCCUGACCCAGCAACGCCGCGUGAGGGAUGAAGUAUUUCGGUAUGUAAACCUCGAAAGAAUGGGAAGAAUAAAUGACGGUACCAUUUAUAAGCUCCGGCUAACUACGUGCCAGCAGCCGCGGUAAUACGUAGGGAGCAAGCGUUGUUCGGAUUUACUGGGCGUAAAGGGCGCGUAGGCGGCGCGGUAAGUCACUUGUGAAAUCUCUGAGCUUAACUCAGAACGGCCAAGUGAUACUGCUGUGCUAGAGUGCGGAAGAGGCAACCGGAAUUCUUGGUGUAGCGGUGAAAUGCGUAGAUAUCAAGAGGAACACCUGAGGCGAAGUCGGGUUGCUGGGCCGACACUGACGCUGAUGCGCGAAAGCCAGGGGAGCAAACG
RNAcentral lists this ribosomal RNA (402 nucleotides) under uncultured bacterium. Its description in RNAcentral is "bacterial SSU rRNA". It matches the Rfam family "Bacterial small subunit ribosomal RNA", at positions 355 to 774 of the family's 1533-position model. The record is from RNAcentral.